Molecule: ribosomal RNA, 435 nt
Filed under: uncultured bacterium
Lineage: Bacteria
Description: partial 16S ribosomal RNA
Rfam family: Bacterial small subunit ribosomal RNA
Source: RNAcentral
AGCGAACGCUGGCGGCAGGCUUAACACAUGCAAGUCGAACGGGCAUCUUCGGAUGUCAGCGGCAGACGGGUGAGUAACACGUGGGAACGUACCCUUCGGUUCGGAACAACUCUGGGAAACUGGAGCUAAUACCGGAUACGCCCUUAUGGGGAAAGGUUUACUGCCGAAGGAUCGGCCCGCGUCUGAUUAGCUAGUUGGUGGGGUAACGGCCUACCAAGGCGACGAUCAGUAGCUGGUCUGAGAGGAUGAUCAGCCACACUGGGACUGAGACACGGCCCAGACUCCUACGGGAAGCAGCAGUGGGGAAUAUUGGACAAUGGGCGCAAGCCUGAUCCAGCCAUGCCGCGUGAGUGAUGAAGGCCUUAGGGUUGUAAAGCUCUUUUGUCCGGGACGAUAAUGACGGUACCGGAAGAAUAAGCCCCGGCUAACUUCGUG